CCUACGGGUGGCAGCAGUGGGGAAUAUUGGACAAUGGGGGCAACCCUGAUCCAGCCAUGCCGCGUGUGUGAAGAAGGCCUUUUGGUUGUAAAGCACUUUAAGCAGUGAAGAAGACUCCAUGGUUAAUACCCAUGGACGAUGACAUUAGCUGCAGAAUAAGCACCGGCUAACUCUGUGCCAGCAGCCGCGGUAAU
This 194-nucleotide ribosomal RNA is filed under the name gamma proteobacterium P6. Its description in RNAcentral is "partial 16S ribosomal RNA". It matches the Rfam family "Bacterial small subunit ribosomal RNA", at positions 338 to 524 of the family's 1533-position model. Lineage: Bacteria; Pseudomonadati; Pseudomonadota; Gammaproteobacteria. The record is from RNAcentral.